RNAcentral lists this long non-coding RNA (710 nucleotides) under Mytilus galloprovincialis (Mediterranean mussel). Lineage: Eukaryota; Metazoa; Mollusca; Bivalvia; Mytilida; Mytilidae. The record is from RNAcentral.
GCGGGUCCCACCUUAGGUCAAUCAGCGGGCCUCCCUUAGGAAAAGUUCUGGAUCUGCCACAAUUUUAAUCCAUUUUCUUUUUUUUUUUUUUUUUUCUAGUUUUAAGGCCCACUACUUCCUAUUCUUUAUAUUUCUGCAGACUUUUUUUGUUUUGUUUUUUUAAAGCCUUUUAUAUUGAUCACACGUAAGUGCAUUUUACAUAUUAAUUAACGUUCUUCAAUUCUAUUCUCUUUAGUUUUUAAUCCAUUUUCCUUUUUUUUCUAGUUUUUAGGCCUACUACUUCCUAUUCUUUAUAUUUCUGCAGACAUUUUUUUUUUUUUUCGUUUUUUGAGGCUCCUAUUACCUUAGCUGUAUUUGAAGAGCUACCAUAAUCUGGGUUUGUCUGUCCUUCCGUUUUCGAAUGGAAAAAUCAAAUGGUUCAGAACUGUAAUUAAUUUUCUAAAAUUUCUUUACGUUGGAUGUUAUUUGAUGAAAAGACUUGUUAAUCUGGAAUGAAAUACUGACUUGAUUAGUGGAGUCGCUUGUGGCAAUCGAUUGAAUGAAUUUUUCAGCGCUGUAAUAAUUUUUUCGAUAUCUUUCAUUGUUAAAAAUGUUUGAAGUUCGGACGCAUGCUGUUUAAUACUGGCAACAUUUUUUUGUACUUCGACGAUCUCUUUUUACGUCUUUUUCAGAGUAGUCAAUAAUUUUUCUAUUUUGCAUUUUUCGUGUUG